GACGAACGCUGGCGGCGUGCUUAACACAUGCCAGUCGAACGGAAAGGCCCUGCUUUUGUGGGGUGCUCGAGUGGCGAACGGGUGAGUAACACGUGAGUAACCUGCCCUUGACUUUGGGAUAACUUCAGGAAACUGGGGAUAAUAUCGGAUAGGAGCUCUUGCUGCAUGGUGGUGGUUGGAAAGUUUCGGCGGUUGGGGAUGGACUCGCGGCUUAUGAGCUUGUUUGUGGGGUAGUGGCUUACCAAGGCUUUGACGGGUAGCCGGCCUGAGAGGGUGACCGGCCACAUUGGGACUGAGAGACGGCCCAGACUCCUACGGGAGGCAGCAGGGGGGAACAUUGCGCAAUGGGCGGAAGCCUGAUGCAGCAACGCCGCGUGCGGGAUGACGGCCUUCGGGUUGUAAACCGCUUUCGCCUGUGACGAAGCGUGAGUGACGGUAAUGGGUAAAGAAGCACCGGCUAACUACGUG
RNAcentral lists this ribosomal RNA (468 nucleotides) under uncultured bacterium. Its description in RNAcentral is "partial 16S ribosomal RNA". It matches the Rfam family "Bacterial small subunit ribosomal RNA", at positions 28 to 507 of the family's 1533-position model. The record is from RNAcentral.